Molecule: ribosomal RNA, 253 nt
Filed under: uncultured bacterium
Lineage: Bacteria
Description: partial 16S ribosomal RNA
Rfam family: Bacterial small subunit ribosomal RNA
Source: RNAcentral
UACAGAGGGUGCGAGCGUUGUUCGGAAUUACUGGGCGUAAAGGGUGCGUAGGCGGGUCUUUAAGUCAGGGGUGAAAUCCUGGAGCUCAACUCCAGAACUGCCUUUGAUACUGAGGAUCUUGAGUUCGGGAGAGGUGAGUGGAACUGCGAGUGUAGAGGUGAAAUUCGUAGAUAUUCGCAAGAACACCAGUGGCGAAGGCGGCUCACUGGCCCGAUACUGACGCUGAGGCACGAAAGCGUGGGGAGCAAACAGG